This 388-nucleotide RNase P RNA is filed under the name Geoalkalibacter halelectricus. RNAcentral's name for it is "RNase P RNA component class A". It matches the Rfam family "Bacterial RNase P class A". Rfam says of the family: Ribonuclease P (RNase P) is a ubiquitous endoribonuclease, found in archaea, bacteria and eukarya as well as chloroplasts and mitochondria. Lineage: Bacteria; Pseudomonadati; Thermodesulfobacteriota; Desulfuromonadia; Desulfuromonadales; Geoalkalibacteraceae. The record is from RNAcentral.
GGAGAAGGACAGGUGAUCGCCGCCCGCCCGUUAGGGGCGGGGGGAGGAAAGUCCGGGCUCCGCAGGGCAGGAUGGUUCCUAACGGGAACCGGGGGCAACCCUAGGGAUAGUGCCACAGAGAGCAGACCGCCCACCCAGGCUUCGGCUUAGGUGGGUAAGGGUGAAAGGGUGAGGUAAGAGCUCACCAGUGCCGGUGGCGACAUCGGCAGCUCGGUAAACCCCAUCCGGAGCAAGGCCGAAUAGAGGAGCGUUUGAGGGCGGCCCGUCCGAAGCUCCCGGGUUAGGCUGCUUGAGGCCGUCGGCGACGGCGGCCCUAGAGGAAUGAUCACCGCCCCGCGGGGGGUAACCGCCGUGGGGAACAGAACCCGGCUUACGGCCUUCUUCGGCC